AUGGACGACCUCCGCACCUCCUCCCUCCCCCCAUCUGCCCACUUCCCCCUCCCCCCUCUUCUAGAUCUGCGGCGGCGGUCACACGGCCGUCGGCGUCACACAUCUACCUGCAGGCGAGGCAUUACAGAACCUGCCGCAGACCCCCGUGUGUUGCAACCUCUAAAAAAAAAGCUUCAAACUCUAUAUGAAAAGCUUCAACCGUAUAUACAGAAAGCUGCAAACCUUCAGUGCUAUCGGGGGAAGCUACAACCGUCUACAGAAAAUGCUACAACCUUUAACGAAAAAAGCUUCAACUUAACGAUAGAGGAAGCUUUCACCCAGGCGCUGCUCAAAACGAAAAAAGUUUCAAUCGUUUACAGAAAAGCUUCUACCGUAGAGGAAAAAAGCUUCAACCUUCGAGAGAGAAAGCUACAACCAAACUCUGCACAAUCAGCGAAGUUGCAACCGUUCGACAGAGAAAGCUUUUGA
RNAcentral lists this ribosomal RNA (468 nucleotides) under Triticum aestivum (bread wheat). RNAcentral's name for it is "partial small subunit ribosomal RNA". Lineage: Eukaryota; Viridiplantae; Streptophyta; Magnoliopsida; Poales; Poaceae. The record is from RNAcentral.